Long non-coding RNA from Coturnix japonica (Japanese quail), 2472 nucleotides. The record is from Ensembl. Lineage: Eukaryota; Metazoa; Chordata; Aves; Galliformes; Phasianidae.
GGGGUGGGAAGGGGCUGCGCCGUACGUGGGGCAGCGGAGGGUGCGGGGAGCGUGGAGAGCACGAAAUGCUCUUUAUUCUUUUCCUUUUUUUGUUAGUACGAGGUCUCCCGGUCCAUUCAUUUGUUCUUUAAAGGUUCGAACUUUACUUUUCUAAUGCUGUGAUUUUGUGUUUAAAGUCCUUUUUUAUUCAUUUCCCCCUCCCCAAGUCCCUUCCCCACGGAGCGGCUCUGCGCUGCUGCUGCUGAGGCCAUUCGGGAGCCUGCGGGGCUCAUCGGCCAUGCAGAGUUUUGCUAAGUUACUUGUCCGACUCUGAUCAUCGGAAUCAAACAGCAGAAAGUGACUAAAAAAGCGCCGCAGCUCUUCGGGUUGUGUCUCCGUUGCAGGGUUAUGUGUUGAAAUACGUUCCCCUUAUGGUGAAUCAUAAGACACGCGAGUAAAACUUAUUACGGGAUGCUGGAAGGGGGAGAGAAGCUGUUACCUGGAUGGAGCGCGGCGCAGGACUCGCCUCGCUGGGUGUCAGGGGUGGGGGUGGAGAUGCGCUGCAGCGCAGAUGGGCGCUGGGAGCUGCAGGAGCUGCCCUCCUCCCGUCCGACCCGCUCUGGCUCCCGGUGCAGCCCACGCAGUUGUUGGUAUCAGCCCGAGCCUUAAAGCUGGGGGCUUCGUUAACGCCGCUGCCAUUGGCAGCCUUUGUCCUUUAGGGCAGGAUCCGGCUCAGCCGGUGCGCAUCUCUCAUCCUUGUUUCGUGCUGCUGCGUUCGUAAGGGGAUUUUCAAAGCGCUGGAAAUGGCACGUGAAAAAAAAAAAAAAAAAAAAAAAAGAAAAAAGAAAAAGAAAAAAAAAGGAAAAAAAAAAAAAAAAAGUUUAAAAAAAUGCUUGGGAAAAAAAAAAAGAAAAAAAAAAAAACAAGCAAAAACAAAAUAGAGCAAAAGGCAGCGGGGAAAGGAAAAGGAGCUCUGAAUAAACGCAUCUGCAAGCAAUCUCCCCAGUGCACCCUGCUUGUCUUUUGCUAUCUUGCCCCGAGACUUUUUUUGCUUGCAAACUGUGGGGGAGUAGUUAUCUGUGGGGAGCUGGAAGGUCUGGCCAGGAAACCUUCAAGUAGGAGCACUUUCCCUUCUAAGCAGGCCCAGCAGAAAAUGCAGUGGAAGAGAAGAUCCACUCUUCUGAGGAUGGAAUCCUUGGCCAACAUUGGUUGCAACACAGGACAGUAGUCAUCAUCAUCAUUGAUAUAAUGGCCUCCAAAACCCAGAGUCCUGCUCUAGAUGGUUCUGCUAAGAAUAAGGAUGAUACAAGGAUGGAGAAAAUUGGGUGCUGGUGAGCAAAGUGCAUAGUACUCCUCCUGGGAUGUUCUCCUGUUGAUUGGAAACACAUCCAACUUGUCACGUAAGAGGAAUCUUGGUUACUUCAGAUGCUCUUUUUGUCUGCAGCCAUGAUGGACCCUCUUGGGCAGGCAUUUCAGCUGGGCUAGGUCAUGCCUAGCACUUAUACCUGCAGAAUUCAAGAUAGCUGAGGGAACUCAGUACUGUACAGAAGUCGCUGCUGUUGUUCAUACUGCAUGUUGGACUGAAAUUUAGAACCAGACUUGGGAUCUUCUUUGUUUAGCAUGUGUGCUUUCAUGGCCUGUGGGGCUCAGAGAUAGGUUGGUCCCAGCCCUGAAGCAGACCUUGGGCACUGCAAGCAGCACAAGGCUGGAGGAGGCAGCAUGUAGCCAUCUCCUCCUGACUGCUGGAAGCUCCCUGGCUGAGAUGGAUGUUUGCUCUCUUCUUCACCUUCAUUUUUCUUCUUCCUCCUCUUCUUCCUCAUCACCUCUCUGCUGGGGCAGAUUCUUCAUUGAUGGGCUCUGCCCAUUUCCUUGUCCUGGGAAGGGUUGCUGUUACAUUCGCCUGAAUAAUUCAGCCAAGUGUCUGGCUUGAGCUCAAGGUUUGUAGCUUUUUUCCCUCCUGAUUUCCCCAGAUCUCAGUGAGAGCAGAUUUGGCCUUGAAUUUGGGCUUCAAAAUCUUAUGGGGGAUCAACUUUGGGGGAUGGAAAGACAGAGCGGACACACAUCAAAAUCACUAGGGCUUGCCCAAGAAACAGUCGUGGCAUUGGAGUUAGCACAGACGAUGGUGACGAGCAUCUAAACCCCAUGGAGUAAUCCCAGCCCUGGCUGUGCUGCUGACGCUCCUGCUCUCCUCGGGCGUUCGGGAGAUCCUUUAAUGCAGCGGCUCUUUGGCUUUUAGGAGUGGUGGCUGUCCGCCAGCCUGAUUUAUUUUAAACAUGUGUUUCUGAUUUGAAAAUGUCCAGAUCUCCAAAUCUUUAAUCUUCUCACACCUAGGGAUUUUUUUUUUUUGUUGUGUUUUGUUUUUGUAAAGGGCUGAACCACGUGCGCAGGAUAAUGGUUAAAAAGCAGCACAGACAGCUUUAAAAAAAGAAAAAGAGAGAGAGAAGUAGUAAAGAAAUUGAAAUAAAAGGUCCAGCUGGCAUUCUUCUGUUAUCA